Non-coding RNA from Pelobates cultripes (western spadefoot toad), 210 nucleotides. Lineage: Eukaryota; Metazoa; Chordata; Amphibia; Anura; Pelobatidae. The record is from the annotation of a GenBank genome assembly.
GGAUGUAAGAGUCAUACAAAGAGGAGAGAUAGGAGACACACAAAGGCAAAAAUAGGAGAUAAAAUACACUAAAGGGAGUCAGAUAUUUAAAAGACGGGAUAAGAAACACAAAAGGGAGGUUAAGAGGCACAUGGGUGAAGAUGUUUUUGGGGUGGUGGAAAAAUGCAUCUUCGCCUAUGUACCCAAAAUUCUUUGCACCGGCCCUGGUUA